Molecule: ribosomal RNA, 391 nt
Filed under: uncultured Actinomycetes bacterium
Lineage: Bacteria; Bacillati; Actinomycetota; Actinomycetes
Description: bacterial SSU rRNA
Rfam family: Bacterial small subunit ribosomal RNA
Source: RNAcentral
AAGGCUUGACAUGGGCCGGACCGGGCUGGAAACAGUCCUUCCCCUUUGGGGCCGGUUCACAGGUGGUGCAUGGUUGUCGUCAGCUCGUGUCGUGAGAUGUUGGGUUAAGUCCCGCAACGAGCGCAACCCUCGUUCCAUGUUGCCAGCGCGUAAUGGCGGGGACUCAUGGGAGACUGCCGGGGUCAACUCGGAGGAAGGUGGGGACGACGUCAAAUCAUCAUGCCCCUUAUGUCUUGGGCUUCACGCAUGCUACAAUGGCCGGUACAAAGGGUUGCGAUACUGUGAGGUGGAGCUAAUCCCAAAAAGCCGGUCUCAGUUCGGAUUGGGGUCUGCAACUCGACCCCAUGAAGUCGGAGUCGCUAGUAAUCGCAGAUCAGCAACGCUGCGGGAA